GGACGAACGCUGGCGGCGUGCCUAAUACAUGCAAGUCGAACGGUCUUUCUAUGGAAGCUUGCUUCCACUGAAAUGAUAGUGGCGAACGGGUGAGUAACACGUGGGUAACCUGCCCAUAAGAGGGGGAUAACAUCCGGAAACGGGUGCUAAUACCGCAUAGUUUUCUUGAUCGCAUGAUCGGGAAAGGAAAGACGGCCUUUGUGCUGUCGCUUAUGGAUGGACCCGCGGCGUAUUAGUUAGUUGGUGAGGUAACGGCUCACCAAGACGAUGAUACGUAGCCGACCUGAGAGGGUGAUCGGCCACAUUGGGACUGAGACACGGCCCAAACUCCUACGGGAGGCAGCAGUAGGGAAUCUUCCGCAAUGGACGAAAGUCUGACGGAGCAACGCCGCGUGAGUGAAAGAAGGUUUUCGGAUCGUAAAACUCUGUUGUCAGAGAAGAACAAGUUGGAGAGUAACUGCUCCAGCCUUGACGGUACUCUGACCAGAAAGCCACGGCUAACUACGUGCCAGCCGCCGC
RNAcentral lists this ribosomal RNA (519 nucleotides) under uncultured bacterium. Its description in RNAcentral is "bacterial SSU rRNA". It matches the Rfam family "Bacterial small subunit ribosomal RNA", at positions 27 to 518 of the family's 1533-position model. The record is from RNAcentral.